UCCCUCGACUCCAGCCCCGCCGCAGGAGACCUCCCUCCUCUCCAUCGACUCCAGCCCGCUGCCGCGGAGACGCGCACGGACCGCACUCGCUCUCUCUCCGGCCCGAAACGUCGAUUCCUACUAACUCAAGGGAGGACGACGCCGACGUCGAGAUCGCGCGCAUCCAGCCCGAGAUCCUGCGCCUCUCCUCCCGCUUCCUCCGCCUGCGCGUCUUCCGGGGCCACGACGCGCAGCCGGCCAGGACGGGGCCGCGGACGAGGGGGCUCAGCCUCGCCCCCUUCGAUCUGGAUGUCGUCGUCGCUCGCUGCUGUCACCACCGCCGCUGUCGGAUGGGGUUGUCGCUGCUGCCUGGACUCGACCGCCACCGUCCCCAAGUGCCGCAGCCUCUCCUCCCAACGCCAAGCAAGCUGGAGCAGGGAUUGCCAAACCAUAAUGCUAUUGGGAGUUAGCAUUGCAGAUUGGGUAAGAAAAUUUCUUUGCUGUUUGUCAAGUACCAGUACUGGUUCACAUUUGGCUGGAACCGAUUACUGGCACCCUCCGGGGAUGAGGACGACAAUCAGGGCAUCCAUGGUCGAGAGAUCGGCUGCUUGGAUGAAGCGUUCUGUUACAGUUAGGCCAAAGGAUGUGCUUCACUCUAUUCUUGCUGAAGCUGGUUUACCCUAAGUGGAGUACAAGACCUACGCAUCUUACCAUGGUUGUGUCGGGGCUACUAUUUACUUAUGGCCAUCGCAGUCGCGCUCGUUUGCGGCAUCAAUGCAUAUGGAGAUCCAUGGUGAACCAGUUGUGGAUGUUGCUGUGGCCAUGCAGAAUGCUGCUACUCGGUGCUUGGAGCUUCUUCAAGACACCAUGAGUAUUGGAUUUGAUUGCCCUCAAAUGCAAAAGAUUAAGACCGAGAUGAAGUACCUUUCAAGCAGUGUCACUGAGAAGAAUCAAAAUAUAAAGGAUCUGAAGACUAAGGUGGAGAAAAAGGACCAGCAGGUCAAGGCCCUUGGCAGGGGUUGGGGUUAAUUUGGAGACGAUGUGCUUGGUUUCGCAGGUCGUACUGAUAAAGUGGCUGUCAAUUAGCUGCCCUGCGGCUCUUCUCCUGUCGAGGGUGACGUGACCUGGGACUGCUAUGGUCUUACUCAAGAAGCCAACAACCUUAACUAUCUAUCUAUGAUGUCAAUUGAUGCUGUCACUGGUGCUAAAAAUGGUGUUGCUGCAGCGGCCAGAUGCCAUGGACCAAUAGUGGUGCUAUUCAGAUAUAAGUUUUAGUAGUCUAUGCUCAUUGAAUUUUCUUUUGAAGCUAAAACAUCAGUCUUCCAUUUUGUAUGUGAGUCUAUUAGCUUAGAACGUGAUAAUUUAGGAGAUAAGUAAAAGCAUUGAUACUUAGAAAUAGUGGGAACAAUGGUCCAAACAUGUCAGGGUGUAUUAUCUCCAAAUUAAUGAUGGUAUAUUCUUAUUUCAAGCCUCACUAAGAAGUUGUUUCUUUAUAGAUAGAAAUAUUUGAUGGCAUGGUGAUUCCUCUCUGCUGUAGAUAUAUAUUAUCUUUUUUGCGGGGCAAACAAUGCAAGAAUUGUAGAUAUAUAUUAUCAGCAUAGUUGAUAAUUGCCAAGAUCAUCUAGGUGGAUAUAUAAAUUGUUGUUUGUCGGGAAUUUUCUUUUGAGUUAUUGGUUGACGCACACCUCCGGAAAUGACCUUAUUUGCCUUUUUAUUUGGAAACUAAUCUCUCCAGGUUUCAGGCACAUAUUAUAACCAGGCUACUCUCAGUGCCUCCUUCUGUUAAUAGGCAGCUAUAUCCAAGGUACCUAUGUAAAAAUUUCUUGAACAUUUUGAUAUUUGGGCCAACAACCUUAACUAUCUAUCUAUGAUGUCAAUUGAUGCUGUCACUGGUGCUAAAAAUGGUGUUGCUGCAGCGGCCAGAUGCCAUGGACCAAUAGUGGUGCUAUUCAGAUAUAAGUUUCAGUAGUCUAUGCUCAUUGAAUUUUCUUUUGAAGCUAAAAUAUCAGUCUUCCAUUUUGUAUGUGAGUCUAUUAGCUUAGAACGUGAUAAUUUAGGAGAUAAGUAAAAGCAUUGAUACUUAGAAAUAGUGGGAACAAUGGUCCAAACAUGUCAGGGUGUAUUAUCUCCAAAUUAAUGAUGGUAUAUUCUUAUUUCAAGCCUCACUAAGAAGUUGUUUCUUUAUAGAUAGAAAUAUUUGAUGGCAUGGUGAUUCCUCUCUGCUGUAGAUAUAUAUUAUCUUUUUUGCGGGGCAAACAAUGCAAGAAUUGUAGAUAUAUAUUAUCAGCAUACUUGAUAAUUGCUAAGAUCAUCUAGGUGGAUAUAUAAAUUGUUGUUUGUCGGGAAUUUUCUUUUGAGUUAUUGGUUGACGCACACCUCCGGAAAUGACCUUAUUUGCCUCUUUAUUUGGAAACUAAUCUCUCCAGGUUUCAGGCACAUAUUAUAACCAGGCUACUCUCAGUGCCUCCUUCUGUUAAUAGGCAGCUAUAUCCAAGGUACCUAUGUAAAAAUUUCUUGAACAUUUUGAUAUUUGGGCUCAAGAUUUCUAUUUUCGGGAACAGACGACUUCAUUAGUUAGUUGGCCCAUGUAUGUCAUGUGUUUAUCCAAUAUUUGGUCUGUUAUUUUCAUCUUUGGUUCCUACUUGAGAAAAAGGAGGAAAACCUACAGUUCAAAGCCUUUUAUGAAAUGGAUGUCACUUUAUUUUCCUGUAGCGUACUUCUUUGUCAUCUAAUAUAUGUCCCACAUGUGAUUUAAACAGUGCCUAGGAUAUGAUUCGGCCCAUACAUCACUUUCUUUCUUAACCUAUAUGAGGAAAGAAGAAAACAUGUAUCAGCAAAAUCUGCUUUCUGAUUGAUUUAUUCAGGGUGAAUGCUUUCUUUGUCCUGUUCUUGUCAUGUGAUGCAUAUGAAUAAACAGAUGUUUUAUAACUGAAUGUUCAUUUGCAUUUAUGGUAAAAAAUGCUCGUCUGCAUUCAUGUCAAUCUUAAUGCAUAAUGGUAAUAUGGAACCAGACUGUUCAUUUUUCUUUUUAUUACUACUGUUCUUUUCUUCAUUUGAAGAAGAUGGUACCUAAUCAAACUAUUUGUGUUUUAUCGAUAUUUAUUUACACUAUUAAAAUUGCAAAUGGAUUUCGCUCCAUUACCUCGCUAGCGCACCAUGUUGAUGCACCACCAUGUCAAAUUAUCCUCUGGGAGGUGUAUCCAUAACUAUCCUUGCAAACUGAUUUGGUCAUGCUGAAUUCUGUAAACUGAUAAUACGCAAAUACAAAAUUUUCCUAAAAUAAUAAUAAAAUAUUGAGAUGUUUUGAUACAAUUUAAAACUACUACCAAGGUCUUCGAAUAUUACAAAUACAUAGAUAUCCAUUUAUAGUGUGUAAUACUAAUGUACUACCAAAAUUUGAUAUGUAUAUACUUAUUGAAUUAGGUGCUCUCUUAUAAGUUACAAUAUUUUAUAUCCUAAUCCUCUAUAAUGAGAUCCCAACAUACAGUGAGUACCAUUCUUCAAGUUAUUUGUAUUACAUUCUUUUUUCUGCACUUUAGAUUCAUCUGUUUUCUUACCUACUUAUAGUGUCAUAGGAACCUUUAUUUUUGCUGGCCUGCAUGAGAAGUGAGAAUAUUGAUUCUUCAUAAAGGUUGUGCUCUGCCUCUUCCUCGCUCAACAAGAGGAGGUGCAGCCACCAAGCCACGGUGCCGGUGGUGCGGUGCAUGGCGGCCUCACCGGGUGGGUGACGACACCAGACACCGGAAGUUUUCGUGCAGCUAUAGAAUUAUUUAGAGUGUUCUUCGACUAAAAUCAGGCUGCUCCUGCCGUGUCUACCAGUGAAAUGCCUCCUUCCAUGAUAAAGCAGCCUACUCUUAGGUACAGAUCUUGGUGUUGAUUCUGCCUCACCUUUACAGCCGGCAGUGGUUCGGUUUGCUGCAGAUUUCCUCGGUGUUCAGGAAUUGUGCAGAGCAUGAGGAUGAUGUAGGCCGCUGCGCCACCUCUCUUGUCAUCCUGGUCACUGCCUAGCCAAUUUCUUUGAUUCAGAGGCUUGUGCCACUACAGGCGUUGCAUGGCAAUCCGCGCUUCUGCGAGCAACAACAAAAAUAGGGCGAAACAAAGCAAGCACAAAAGAAGAAUUGAGAUGCUACAUACAACCAAUGGUAUCCUUUUAACGCCGCCGCCGGGGUCCUUCCGCCUGAGCCAGGAUCUCUUCUACCCUGCACCGCUGCUGUGAACUCAUCCAUGCUGACAGUCGGCUCCAUGCUACAACUGCUGCAGCCUGCAGACAUGUACAGGACCAAGCAAGAAAUCAGGAAUGGUUAGGGCGCUAUGCCUUGAAGAGAGCCAAAAGGAAGAGAGAGGCGAGUGUACAUGUCGUGAAGACGGCAAGGUACCACUUCCAUGACGAUGUCAACAUCGUCGUGGUCUAUCUUCACCGGCACCGGCACCGGGGGCGCCGUCACAUCAGGGUUACGGAGCAGUAAUUGCAAACAUGGAGGCCCAAAUUAUGAUGGGUUACAGACUUUGCUUAUAAGACAACAUGAACUGACAACUUCAAUUAUAGCAUAUCUGGUAUUUUCAUAUUAUCUUUUGUCAUGUGUAGAAUACAUGGUGUGAUAGGGUCAGCGUUUGUAUGAACUUUUGGUGGGUAAAGUGUUCUGUUUCUCAAGCAAGUUCAUCAUUGAACACAAAAUUUUGAUUGUGUUUUCCUGAGUUGUGAGACAUGAAUCUAUUUUAAGGAUGUUGUUGUAUGAAUACAUAUACUGAACCUGGAUUAGUACUGACUUAACAUUA
Molecule: long non-coding RNA, 4755 nt
Organism: Triticum dicoccoides
Lineage: Eukaryota; Viridiplantae; Streptophyta; Magnoliopsida; Poales; Poaceae
Exons: 9
Source: RefSeq, a predicted model, not a curated record